This 99-nucleotide non-coding RNA is filed under the name human gut metagenome. RNAcentral's name for it is "S10-Clostridia ribosomal protein leader". It matches the Rfam family "S10-Clostridia ribosomal protein leader". The record is from RNAcentral.
UGAUAGUGUAGAUCCGGGAGGUUGCAUCAGAAUGCUAUCCGAGAUAGGUUCUGAGGGAUUUCCGGGGAGCGAAUGUCAAGUUCAAGAAACUGACGGCAA